RNAcentral lists this ribosomal RNA (333 nucleotides) under uncultured bacterium. RNAcentral's name for it is "bacterial SSU rRNA". It matches the Rfam family "Bacterial small subunit ribosomal RNA", at positions 32 to 342 of the family's 1533-position model. The record is from RNAcentral.
AAUCAACGCUGGCGGCGUGCCUCAGACAUGCAAGUCGAACGCGAAAGGCCCCUUCGGGGGCCCGGUAGAGUGGCGCACGGGUGAGUAACACGUAGGUAAUUUGCCUUCGGGUGGGGAAUAACAGCCGGAAACGGACUGCUAAUACCGCAUAAUAGCAGCGGCUCGACAUCGAGACAGUUGUUAAAGCGGGGGAUCGCAAGACCUCGCGCCCUGAAGAGAAGCCUGCGGCAGAUAGCUUGUUGGUGAGGUAAUGGCUCACCAAGGCGACGAUCUGUAACCGGCCUGAGAGGGCGGUCGGUCACACUGACACUGACAUACGGGUCAGACUCCUAC